This 253-nucleotide ribosomal RNA is filed under the name uncultured bacterium. RNAcentral's name for it is "partial 16S ribosomal RNA". It matches the Rfam family "Bacterial small subunit ribosomal RNA", at positions 524 to 776 of the family's 1533-position model. The record is from RNAcentral.
UACAGAGGUCUCAAGCGUUGUUCGGAUUCAUUGGGCGUAAAGGGUGCGUAGGUGGCGCCGUAAGUCGGGUGUGAAAUCCUGAGGCUUAACCUCAGAACUGCAUUCGAUACUGCGGUGCUUGAGGACUGGAGAGGAGACUGGAAUUCAUGGUGUAGCAGUGAAAUGCGUAGAGAUCAUGAGGAAGACCAGUGGCGAAGGCGGGUCUCUGGGCAGUUCCUGACACUGAGGCACGAAGGCCAGGGGAGCAAACAGG